AUGCAGUCGAACGGUCUCUUCGGAGAUAGUGGCGGACGGGUGAGUAACGCGUGAGAACAUGCCUUUAGAUUGGGGACAACAGUUGGAAACGACUGCUAAUACCGAAUGUGCCUUAGGGUGAAAGAUUUAUUGUCUAGAGAUUGGCUCGCGUCAGAUUAGCUAGUUGGAGUGGUAACGGCACACCAAGGCGACGAUCUGUACUUGGUCUGAGAGGAUGACCAGGCACACUGGAACUGAGACACGGUCCAGACUCCUACGGGAGGCAGCAGUGGGGAAUUUUCCGCAAUGGGCGAAAGCCUGACGGAGCAAUACCGCGUGAGGGAGGACGGCUUUUGGGUUGUAAACCUCUUUUAUCAGGGAAGAAUCGAUGACGGUACCUGAUGAAUCAGCAUCGGCUAACUCCGUGCCAGCAGCCGCGGUAAUACGGAGGAUGCAAGCGUUAUCCGGAAUUAUUGGGCGUAAAGCGUCCGUAGGUGGUUUAUCAAGUCUGCUGUCAAAGCGUGCGGCUUAACCGCAUAAGGGCAGUGGAAACUGAUGAACUAGAGUGCGAUAGGGGUAACAGGAAUUCCCAGUGUAGCGGUGAAAUGCGUAGAUAUUGGGAAGAACACCAGCGGCGAAAGCGUGUUACUGGGUCUGCACUGACACUGAGGGACGAAAGCUAGGGGAGCGAAAGGGAUUAGAUACCCCUGUAGUCCUAGCCGUAAACGAUGACAACUAGGCGUGGUUCGUAUCGACCCGAGCCGUGCCGUAGCCAACGCGUUAAGUUGUCCGCCUGGGGAGUACGCACGCAAGUGUGAAACUCAAAGGAAUUGACGGGGGCCCGCACAAGCGGUGGAGUAUGUGGUUUAAUUCGAUGCAACGCGAAGAACCUUACCAAGGCUUGACAUCCUCGGAACCCUGAUGAAAGUUAGGGGUGCCUUCGGGAGCCGAGAGACAGGUGGUGCAUGGCUGUCGUCAGCUCGUGUCGUGAGAUGUUGGGUUAAGUCCCGCAACGAGCGCAACCCACGUUUUUAGUUGCCAGCAUUCAGUUGGGCACUCUAGAGAGACUGCCGGUGACAAACCGGAGGAAGGUGUGGAUGACGUCAAGUCAGCAUGCCCCAUACGCCUUGGGCUACACACGUACUACAAUGCGUCGGACAAAGAGCAGCCAGCCAGCGAUGGUGAGCCAAUCUCAUAAACCGACGCUCAGUUCAGAUUGCAGGCUGCAACUCGCCUGCAUGAAGGCGGAAUCGCUAGUAAUCGCAGGUCAGCAUACUGCGGUGAAUACGUUCCCGGGCCUUGUACACACCGCCCGUCACACCAUGGGAGUUGGUCACGCCCGAAGUCGUUACUCUAACUGCUGCAGAGGAGGACGCC
This 1356-nucleotide ribosomal RNA is filed under the name Leptolyngbya sp. KSU-AQIQ-12. RNAcentral's name for it is "bacterial SSU rRNA". It matches the Rfam family "Bacterial small subunit ribosomal RNA". The record is from RNAcentral. Lineage: Bacteria; Bacillati; Cyanobacteriota; Cyanophyceae; Leptolyngbyales; Leptolyngbyaceae.